This 347-nucleotide ribosomal RNA is filed under the name Parascutigera sphinx. RNAcentral describes it as "partial 12S ribosomal RNA". Lineage: Eukaryota; Metazoa; Arthropoda; Chilopoda; Scutigeromorpha; Scutigeridae. The record is from RNAcentral.
UUUUACAGUAAAAUAUUUAUUUGAGUAGUAGUAGAUAUUCUUGAAACUUAAAGAAUUUGGCGGUACAUUAAUCUUUUUAGAGGAACCUGUCCUGUAAUCGAUAAUCCCCGUAAAUUUAACCUAAAUUUGUAUAUCAGCUUGUAUAUCACUGUCGUAAGAUUAUUUUAUAAGAAAUUUUUCAGUAAUAAUUUUUUAUUUAUGUCAAGUCAAGGUGCAGUAAAUGUUUAGGGUUGAGAUGGGUUACAUUGUAGGUUUACACACAGAUGUAGAUUUGUAAUAUUUAUUAAAGGUGGAUUUAAUUGUAAUAUGGAAUUAAUUAUUUUAUAUGGAAAAGUACUGAUGUAUGC